RNAcentral lists this ribosomal RNA (552 nucleotides) under uncultured bacterium. RNAcentral describes it as "bacterial SSU rRNA". It matches the Rfam family "Bacterial small subunit ribosomal RNA", at positions 472 to 1023 of the family's 1533-position model. The record is from RNAcentral.
ACGGUAUCAACAGAAGAAGCACCGGCUAACUACGUGCCAGCAGCCGCGGUAAUACGUAGGGUGCGAGCGUUAAUCGGAAUUACUGGGCGUAAAGGGUGCGCAGGCGGUUCUGAAAGUCAGAUGUGAAAUCCCUGGGCUUAACCUAGGAAUUGCGUUUGAAACUACAGGACUAGAGUGUGACAGAGGGGGGUGGAAUUCCAUGUGUAGCAGUGAAAUGCGUAGAGAUAUGGAAGAACAUCGAUGGCGAAGGCAACCCCCUGGGUUAACACUGACGCUCAGGCACGAAAGCGUGGGGAGCAAACAGGAUUAGAUACCCUGGUAGUCCACGCCCUAAACUACGUCAACUAGUUGUCGGAUCUUAAUAGGUUUGGUAACGUAGCUAACGCGUGAAGUUGACCGCCUGGGGAGUACGGUCGCAAGAUUAAAACUCAAAGGAAUUGACGGGGACCCGCACAAGCGGUGGAUUAUGUGGAUUAAUUCGAUGCAACGCGAAAAACCUUACCUACCCUUGACAUGUCAAAAAGUCCCUAGAAAUAGGGGUGUGCCUGAAAA